GUGGGUAGUUUGACUGGGGCGGUCUCCUCCUAAAGAGUAACGGAGGAGCACGAAGGUUGGCUAAUCCUGGUCGGACAUCAGGAGGUUAGUGCAAUGGCAUAAGCCAGCUUGACUGCGAGCGUGACGGCGCGAGCAGGUGCGAAAGCAGGUCAUAGUGAUCCGGUGGUUCUGAAUGGAAGGGCCAUCGCUCAACGGAUAAAAGGUACUCCGGGGAUAACAGGCUGAUACCGCCCAAGAGUUCAUAUCGACGGCGGUGUUUGGCACCUCGAUGUCGGCUCAUCACAUCCUGGGGCUGAAGUAGGUCCCAAGGGUAUGGCUGUUCGCCAUUUAAAGUGGUACGCGAGCUGGGUUUAGAACGUCGUGAGACAGUUCGGUCCCUAUCUGCCGUGGGCGCUGGAGAACUGAGGGGGGCUGCUCCUAGUACGAGAGGACCGGAGUGGACGCAUCACUGGUGUUCGGGUUGUCAUGCCAAUGGCACUGCCCGGUAGCUAAAUGCGGAAGAGAUAAGUGCUGAAAGCAUCUAAGCACGAAACUUGCCCCGAGAUGAGUUCUCCCUGAGACUUUAA
This 566-nucleotide ribosomal RNA is filed under the name Salmonella enterica. RNAcentral's name for it is "partial 23S ribosomal RNA". It matches the Rfam family "Bacterial large subunit ribosomal RNA", at positions 2261 to 2824 of the family's 2925-position model. The record is from RNAcentral. Lineage: Bacteria; Pseudomonadati; Pseudomonadota; Gammaproteobacteria; Enterobacterales; Enterobacteriaceae.